AUUGAACGCUGGCGGCAGGCCUAACACAUGCAAGUCGAGCGGAUGAAGGGAGCUUGCUCCUGGAUUCAGCGGCGGACGGGUGAGUAAUGCCUAGGAAUCUGCCUGGUAGUGGGGGAUAACGUCCGGAAACGGGCGCUAAUACCGCAUACGUCCUGAGGGAGAAAGUGGGGGAUCUUCGGACCUCACGCUAUCUGAUGAGCCUAGGUCGGAUUAGAUAGUUGGUGGGGUAAAGGCCUACCAAGGCGACGAUCCGUAACUGGUCUGAGAGGAUGAUCAGUCACACUGGAACUGAGACACGGUCCAGACUCCUACGGGAGGCAGCAGUGGGGAAUAUUGGACAAUGGGCGAAAGCCUGAUCCAGCCAUGCCGCGUGUGUGAAGAAGGUCUUCGGAUUGUAAAGCACUUUAAGUUGGGAGGAAGGGCAGUAAGUUAAUACCUUGCUGUUUUGACGUUACCAACAGAAUAAGCACCGGCUAACUUCGUG
Molecule: ribosomal RNA, 484 nt
Filed under: uncultured bacterium
Lineage: Bacteria
Description: partial 16S ribosomal RNA
Rfam family: Bacterial small subunit ribosomal RNA
Source: RNAcentral